Haliotis rubra (blacklip abalone) is the source of this 3295-nucleotide long non-coding RNA. RefSeq lists it as uncharacterized. NCBI's taxonomy places the organism in Eukaryota, Metazoa, Mollusca, Gastropoda, Lepetellida, Haliotidae. The record is from RefSeq and is a predicted model, not a curated record. The transcript has 2 exons.
GAGUUACUUCCCUUAGAUGAGCCAGGAUUUUAUGUGACAGAUCAAAUUCACCCGAUCAUGACCUUUGGUUUGUCAGCUCUAUACAAAUUGGUAAUCACUGAUGAUUAGUCAACUUUUUCCUAUGAAAUUAAAUUUAAUGAAAACAAAUUGAAACUGUAUCAUAUCUUCAAGCAUGUGCAGUAUUGCAGCAACAGUGAACAUGUUCACCUCAUUUUUCUCACUCCAUGACACUGAUCUGUCAUCAUUAUAGUGAUAGUUUAAAUCACAAAUUAAUCUUGGGACCGUGAGUUCUUUACUUGGCUCAUAGGUUUAACAAAAAGGUGCAGGUGGCAUGGAUGGCCUGUUGGUGUACGGCACAGCAGUUCGCUGUGCAAAACUGCAUCAUUCAGUGAUAGUGGGUUCAAAUCCCAGGUUUGGCCUGAUUACGAUUCUUGAUUUUUCAGCACCAUGCAUCAUGGUUUUCUCCAAGGGGUAACCAUGUAUGACUUGUAUCAUGAAAUUCUCCCCACAUCAAGAUGACACAUAUUCAUCUUUCAAAAAUCUAGACCUAGAAAAGAAAAACAUCUUUAAGAUAUGAUUUGCAUUUCCCUUCCUUCAUGAAUAGAGAGCCAAGAGGAUGAACUUAGUUUGACAGGGUGUAAAACAUGUAGUGUUUACUAAACUUGAGCAUGGUGUUAGAUGAUUAAAAUGUUCCAACUUGCUGACAUUGUACCUUGGGACUACUGCCGGAGUUAACUCCCUUUGCUCUUAUACCUCUCAAGACACUGUGUUAGAAUGGAGACAGUGGUGAAACAAGAUUAUGUUUUAGUGAUGUAUAAUGAAUUUUAUUAACUAUUAUGUACUAUAUGACCUAGAUUUGCUAUUCAUCAUUGUUGACUUAUAAACUCUGGGUCGUUUGAUAUGUAAUUCAUUGUGCCAAUUUUGCUUAUUAUUGUUAUCUUUCUUGUUAAACUUUACUCAAUCUGAUUUGGUUAAGUUGUCACUUCUAUUUAUAGAUAUCAUGAAACAGACUAACUUUUAUGUAAAUUCUUUAAUCACUAUUUUGGACAUUAAAUGUUUUUCCAGAUUCUUGAUGUGUACAAUGGGGCCCUGGUGGCCCCUGGAGCCAGUCUUGCUGUAUCUUGUUACUGUUCCGGGCUGCUCCUACCAUGGGUUUAGAUUGUCCAAUUGUGUGCCUCGAUUAUGAUCUGUGUUCUGUCAGCAACCCUUCCUCGAGAGUUUGUGAGACUUUGGGCUUCUUAACUUGAGGUGACACGAGUGGCCCACCCAUCUAAGUCACCGAAAUUUGCUGUGCAGAGUUGCAUCCCUUGAGCACACCAGCCACAUGAGCCCACAUCAAGCUGACAUAAUUGAAAUACUAUUUAAAGCAGCUUUCAACAUACUCACUUUCUUCAUCAGUAUAUGUAUUGAUUGUAUUGUGCUCCUUUAAUACAUCACUUUCAGAAAUAUUAAGGUUUAAGUCAUGGCUAAGUGAGGCUAUGGCAUACAAAUCAUAUAAGAAAGUAUAGACCCAAUAUGGAGGUGCAAUAUUUUUAACAAGGUGUUUGAUUUAGACUUAAUAUGCCCUUGAAGGGGAUGUGUUAAUGCAUUUAACGUGUCCUGACUAUAUGCUUGAGUUAGCUCAGAUCAACAGGUGGAUAUCUUAUAAUUAUUCAGUUGUGGAUAUAUAUAUGUGACAAUAGUGUGUCUUGGUUAGGUUGAUAUUCUUUCAUUACUUCUGGUUAUUAGUCUACCUCCACAUGUGAAUUUAUUUGUCUUGUAAAUAAAAUAGUUGAUCAGUCAGUGAACCUGUUUACAAAGAAACAUUGUUGCACUCACUAUUUACCAAUUUCUGAAUUGGUUUUAUAAUGAAAAAGAAUCUCUCCACUAACCAAUUGCAUAACUUACUUUAAAAAAGGAUGGCAUUCUCAUCAGCUCACUGAUCGCAUCUGGUCAGUGCUACCCAUCUUUACCAGUUUAAGGUGCAGAAUAGGUGGCCCUCUCAUCUAAGGCACAUAAUUUGCCAUGCAGGGUUGGCUCCCUUGCAUGUGCCAGAAACUAAUGAUCAUGGGUUUGAAUCCCAUAUUUACCCUGAUUAUGUUUCUAGGUUUGUCCAGUGCUCAUGCUGUUGAUCACUGGAUUGUCUGGUCCAGACUCGAUUAUUUACAGACCGCGGACAUAUAGCUGAAAUAUUGCUGAGUGGGGCGUAAAACUAAACUCACUCACUCACUCUAGGUUUGUCAGUACCAUACCUUUGCUCAUGGGUUACACCAGAGUGGUAAACGUCUAUGACCUGCUUCACUUCAGGUGGUCCUGGCAAAUCAAGAUGACAUGUCAGUAUAUUACCAGAAAACACUGUUCAAUGUGAGUUUAAGCCACAAUUAUGGUUAACUUGCGCUGAAACAUGGACAAUUGAAACUAAGAUCACUGAAUAUGAAAAGGUCCACUUAGUGUUUUACUCGGCUAUGAGAGGAUUAUGUGAUGAGGAAAUACAUAGGCAUGUGUACACAUGGAAAUAUGCAUUAGACUAAUCAAGCAUUAACUGUGCCUUCAGUUUCAUCCAUUGGGUGUACUUUGUGAUGUCGUAGUUUGUUUUGGUGGCGGACUCAAAUGAAUUUGUUGUAAACACAAUUUACAUCAGUCUCAUGAUUAAGCGUAAGUUUUACUGUCUGGACAUUUGUUUCACUAAAUAGAACUAAAAAGACUUGUAAUCUGUGCCUUAUUUUUAAGUAAUUUGGAAACGAUUUCUUUUGUCAUUUCCAUGGAAACAAGUUAAAACUACAAUUAUUACUUUUGACUGUCCAUGAAAACAAGUGGAAUCAGUUUGAGUCUGUUUCCGGAACAUUCUGCUAACCAUUGAGUAUGUCUUCUUGCCAUAUUUCAUGGAGCUAGGUGUUUGCCAUCUUCAGAUUUCAUUUGUUUCAGUGUGAAAAACAGAAAGAAUCAAAUACAGCCAUUUGUAAUUUUUGUUUAUGGUCCUCACAACCAAAAAUAUUGUUCUAAGCCUUGCGUAUAUGUUUCAAAUGUAAUGCAUAUCACCACUACAUGUGUUAUGUUGUCAGUUUGGUGAUCAUUUAGUUAAAGCUUGUCAUGUUGAGAUCACUUUUCACCAGAGGUUUGAGGUAUUUCCAUCAUCAUGUGUUGACAGAGAGUGAUGAUUGUAGCAAUAUAUAUGAUUCCUUGUAUUGACAUGAUUCUAGUAUUAGCUGGUGUUAUGAUUCAAGAAUUCAGUUGGUGAUGCGAUUCCUAGGUUAAGAAGGGCAUUAUUGCGAUACAGUUUUGUGAAGAUAAUAAACCAUGUGGAGUACAUUGUGAA